Molecule: long non-coding RNA, 1378 nt
Organism: Mytilus californianus (California mussel)
Lineage: Eukaryota; Metazoa; Mollusca; Bivalvia; Mytilida; Mytilidae
Exons: 2
Source: RefSeq, a predicted model, not a curated record
UUUGCGUCCUUGGUGUCGACAUUUAAUGAAAUUUAGCGACUAGAAUUGCGUGUCUGAGUAGAAACAUGACGAAUAAGGUGUUUUUCUGAGUGACCACCGAAUCCCAUAUGCUAGAAGAAAUGAGGAUAGACGUGUGUUGGUAUCAAUUGUGAGAAAAGAAAUGUUACUUUAAAAACUUUUAAUUUCUAUCGAUAAUGACCUCUAGAGAGUAUAAUUUAUCAGGAAUAUAUAUAUUGAGAUAUACUGUUCCCAUGUAUUAUUGAGGAACUAGCGGAAGAAUAAACUAUUUGAAGAAGGUGCUGAGGUGACUAGAGUGGAAUACCAUCAGUCCUAAUAUUUCAUACUGCUACACAAAGGCAAGGCAAAAGGUACACACAUGAACACCAUAUAGUGUUUGGAGAGUCUUGCAGAAAAGAACAGAUAAAGUUGAAAGUGCACAUUGCAAGUGCCCUGCAGGCUUGCAAGGAUACUGUAAACAUUGUGUCGCUUUGUUGCAUUUCAUACAUGUAGUUAUGCAAAUAGAGGCAGGAUCUAACAAUUUCAAAGCUUGCUCAUCAAAACCACAAGAGUGAAUGUUCAAGGGAAAAGGGUUACUCAACCUGACUAAUGACUUUGUAAGUAAUCUUGUAGUGAAAAGGUAACUGGUAGAUUUAAAAGUACUCCAAAAGAUUUGAAAAAAGGGGAAAUAAGUCCAGAUUAACUUUUGACCCUACAACAGUCUGCUACUGAAAGGAAAAAAAAAUUGUCAGACUUUAAUUUGGAUAAGCUGGACAAGAUAACCAAUGGAAAUUGUACAUGCUAAUAUUGUAUUCAUCAAGAAGUAAAUUGCUAUUACAUUGAAGAGGAUGUGGAAACUGUUGUCAUUUAACAAUACCUGUUCUUGCAUAUGAAAUUAUUCAAGCAAAGCAAAACAUUAAUCAAACAUUAGUGAAUUUAUAAAAGACAUGGAAGAACUCAUGUUAAAACUUGAUAAUUCAACAACAGAAGAAACUGUUGACUAUGUUGUAAGUCAAACCUUCACGCAAAGUAAAUAAAAAAUAUGGUUUGAUUACAGGAUUGGACGGAUUACUGCAUCAGUGGCAAAUGAAUGUUCAAAAUAACUGGAGAAUGUGUCCAGUACCUCAAUUUGCCUUGUAUUAAGACUAUUAAUUUCAAAAAAGGGGGAACUUCUGUAUGUAAAUUCAAAAGUCAGAAGGCAGUUUGCCACUGAUUCUGAUAACAUUCUAUUUAUGUGUAACAGUAUUUUGCAAUCCAUAGUAGAGUCAUACUACACAGCUGGUCAUUUCUGGUCAGUCAUCUACAAUGUUGUGGUAAUUAGACAAUUUCCUGCUGUGAAGACAAACAAGUGUGUUUGAAUAAAUGAUGUAUCAAUUAUCUG